GACGAACGCUGGCGGCGCGCUUAACACAUGCAAGUCGAGCGAUUAAACUUUAACAGAACCCUUCGGGGCGAAGAUAAAGUGGAUUAGCGGCGGACGGGUGAGUAACACGUGAGUAACCUGCCUUAGACAUUGGGAUAGCCUCGGGAAACCGGGAUUAAUACCAAAUAAAAUCAUAAUGCCACAUGUCAUAACGAUCAAAACUCCGGUGGUCUAAGAUGGAAUCGCGUCCCAUUGGCUAGUUGGUAGAGUAAAAGCAUACCAAUGCGACGAUGGGUAGCCGGCCUGAGAGGGUGAACGGCCACAUUGGAACUGAGAAACGGUCCAAACUCCUACGGGAGGCAGCAGUGGGGAAUAUUGCACAAUGGAGGGAACUCUGAUGCAGCGACGCCGCGUGAACGAAGAAGGCUUUCGAGUCGUAAAGUUCUUUUAUAUGGGAAGAUAAUGACGGUACCAUAAGAAAAAGCCCCGGCUAACUACGUG
RNAcentral lists this ribosomal RNA (480 nucleotides) under uncultured bacterium. RNAcentral's name for it is "partial 16S ribosomal RNA". It matches the Rfam family "Bacterial small subunit ribosomal RNA", at positions 28 to 507 of the family's 1533-position model. The record is from RNAcentral.